GACGAACGCUGGCGGCGUGCUUAACACAUGCAAGUCGAACGGAAAGGCCCUGCUUUUGUGGGGUGCUCGAGUGGCGAACGGGUGAGUAACACGUGAGUAACCUGCCCUUGACUUUGGGAUAACUUCAGGAAACUGGGGCUAAUACCGGAUAGGAGCUCCUGCUGCAUGGUGGGGGUUGGAAAGUUUCGGCGGUUGGGGAUGGACUCGCGGCUUAUCAGCUUGUUGGUGGGGUAGUGGCUUACCAAGGGUUCGACGGGUAGCCGGCCUGGGAGGGUGAACGGCCACAUGGGGACUGAGAUACGGCGCAGACGGCUACGGGAGGCAGAAGUGGGGAAUAUUGCGCAAUGGGCGGAAGCCUGAGGCAGAGACGCCGCGUGCGGGAUGACGGCCUUCGGGGUGUAAACCGCUGUCGCCUGUGACGAAGCGGUAGUGACGGUAAUGGAUAAAGAAGCACCGGCUAACUACGUG
RNAcentral lists this ribosomal RNA (468 nucleotides) under uncultured bacterium. RNAcentral's name for it is "partial 16S ribosomal RNA". It matches the Rfam family "Bacterial small subunit ribosomal RNA", at positions 28 to 507 of the family's 1533-position model. The record is from RNAcentral.